ACUGGGUAAUCAUGGAUUUAUGUAGUGAGAUAAAGUAGU
This 39-nucleotide non-coding RNA is filed under the name Trypanosoma brucei brucei. The record is from RNAcentral. Lineage: Eukaryota; Euglenozoa; Kinetoplastea; Trypanosomatida; Trypanosomatidae.